ACACAUGCAGUCGAGCGCACCUUCGGGUGAGCGGCGGACGGGUGAGUAACGCGUGGGAACGUACCCUUCUCUGCGGAAUAGCCACUGGAAACGGUGAGUAAUACCGCAUACGCCCUUCGGGGGAAAGAUUUAUCGGAGAAGGAUCGGCCCGCGUUGGAUUAGGUAGUUGGUGGGGUAAUGGCCUACCAAGCCUACGAUCCAUAGCUGGUUUGAGAGGAUGAUCAGCCACACUGGGACUGAGACACGGCCCAGACUCCUACGGGAGGCAGCAGUGGGGAAUCUUAGACAAUGGGCGCAAGCCUGAUCUAGCCAUGCCGCGUGAGUGAAGAAGGCCUUAGGGUCGUAAAGCUCUUUCGCUGGGGAAGAUAAUGACUGUACCCAGUAAAGAAACCCCGGCUAACUCCGUGCCAGCAGCCGCGGUAAUACGGAGGGGGUUAGCGUUGUUCGGAAUUACUGGGCGUAAAGCGCGCGUAGGCGGAUCAGAAAGUUGGGGGUGAAAUCCCGGGGCUCAACCUCGGAACUGCCUCCAAAACUCCUGGUCUUGAGUUCGAGAGAGGUGAGUGGAAUUCCGAGUGUAGAGGUGAAAUUCGUAGAUAUUCGGAGGAACACCAGUGGCGAAGGCGGCUCACUGGCUCGAUACUGACGCUGAGGUGCGAAAGUGUGGGGAGCAAACAGGAUUAGAUACCCUGGUAGUCCACACCGUAAACGAUGAAUGCCAGUCGUCGGCAAGCAUGCUUGUCGGUGACACACCUAACGGAUUAAGCAUUCCGCCUGGGGAGUACGGUCGCAAGAUUAAAACU
Molecule: ribosomal RNA, 800 nt
Filed under: Salipiger sp.
Lineage: Bacteria; Pseudomonadati; Pseudomonadota; Alphaproteobacteria; Rhodobacterales; Roseobacteraceae
Description: bacterial SSU rRNA
Rfam family: Bacterial small subunit ribosomal RNA
Source: RNAcentral